GACAAAGCUACCGGGAUCCUGUUAUAUGGCUUGGCCUCCCGACUCAGGGAUACCCGGCGUCUCUCCUUCCUUGUAAGCUACAUAGCCAGUAAGAAGAUCCACACUGAGCCCCAGCUAAGCGGGUGGUGGUGCCAGGGCUUAACUUUUCAGGAGGCCAGACUAUCCUUGGAGUUUCAUGAGAUUAGGACCCUGUCUGUCCACUUCUUGGAGCAGAGAUGCCACAAACUCACGGGCUCUUUCUUCUCAGCUGCCCUUGAGUAUGUGCGGAGUCACCCCUUGGACCCCAUCGACACUGUGGACUUCGAGCGGGAAUGUGGCGUGGGUGUCAUUGUGACCCCAGAGCAGAUUGAGGAGGCUGUGGAGGCUGCUAUUAACAGGCACCGGCCCCAGCUCCUGGUGGAACGUUACCAUUUCAACAUGGGGCUGCUGAUGGCUCCUUGUGCCUAUGCUUCUAGGAGAGGCUCGGGCUGUGCUGAAGUGGGCAGAUGGCAAAAUGAUCAAGAAUGAAGUGGACAUGCAG
RNAcentral lists this small RNA (520 nucleotides) under Pan troglodytes (chimpanzee). RNAcentral's name for it is "processed transcript". The record is from RNAcentral. Lineage: Eukaryota; Metazoa; Chordata; Mammalia; Primates; Hominidae.